This 465-nucleotide ribosomal RNA is filed under the name Vreelandella stevensii. Its description in RNAcentral is "partial 16S ribosomal RNA". It matches the Rfam family "Bacterial small subunit ribosomal RNA", at positions 338 to 795 of the family's 1533-position model. Lineage: Bacteria; Pseudomonadati; Pseudomonadota; Gammaproteobacteria; Oceanospirillales; Halomonadaceae. The record is from RNAcentral.
UCUACGGGGAGCAGCAGUGGGGAAUAUUGGACAAUGGGCGAAAGCCUGAUCCAGCCAUGCCGCGUGUGUGAAGAAGGCCUUCGGGUUGUAAAGCACUUUCAGUGGGGAAGAAAGCCUUGGGGCUAAUACCCUCGAGGAAGGACAUCACCCACAGAAGAAGCACCGGCUAACUCCGUGCCAGCAGCCGCGGUAAUACGGAGGGUGCGAGCGUUAAUCGGAAUUACUGGGCGUAAAGCGCGCGUAGGCGGUCUGAUAAGCCGGUUGUGAAAGCCCCGGGCUCAACCUGGGAACGGCAUCCGGAACUGUCAGGCUAGAGUGCAGGAGAGGAAGGUAGAAUUCCCGGUGUAGCGGUGAAAUGCGUAGAGAUCGGGAGGAAUACCAGUGGCGAAGGCGGCCUUCUGGACUGACACUGACGCCGAGGUGCGAAAGCGUGGGUAGCAAACAGGAUUAGAUACCCUAGUAGUC